AGCAAUGGAAAGGCUUAUAUGGGCGGUCGGCUAAGCUCCCUGAAGGGAGGUGAGGCCAUGGAGGUCUAUCAGGCGUUGUCCCUGAUGUUCAUGUUCGGCAUGUUCAUCAUAGCACUGCUUAACUACCUCAAAAAGAAAUAGACCGCCCUGUCCAAAGGAAACGGUCUAUCUCUUGACUAUUUUUCCGAAAGCCACCGCCCUUAAAAGCGGCUGUUGCACCGGGGAACCGUGUUAGCGCACGGUUC
Molecule: small RNA, 245 nt
Filed under: Paenibacillus jilunlii
Lineage: Bacteria; Bacillati; Bacillota; Bacilli; Caryophanales; Paenibacillaceae
Description: BsrG
Rfam family: BsrG
About the family: bsrE, bsrG and bsrH pair through intermolecular interactions with antisense sRNAs. SR4 interaction with the 3'UTR of bsrG RNA promotes bsrG degradation and inhibits its translation.
Source: RNAcentral